This is a long non-coding RNA of Amblyraja radiata (thorny skate), 3614 nucleotides long. RefSeq lists it as uncharacterized. The record is from RefSeq and is a predicted model, not a curated record. The transcript has 5 exons. Lineage: Eukaryota; Metazoa; Chordata; Chondrichthyes; Rajiformes; Rajidae.
GACAGUGCGCAUGCGCCGCUCUCCGCGCUCGGCCCCUCCCCCCGGCGGCGGGACAGCGAGAACAGCUCGAGCUCUCGGCGGCUUUUGGCGCCUUUUCCCGCCGAGGGCUCGAGCUGUCCACGGGAAUCAUGUAAUAAUUAAUAACCAGGGACGUGUAGCAGCUGCUGCAGUGAUGCAUCUCCUGCAAUGCAGUUGUACCUUGCAGGGGAGCAGCUGCUGCAGUGAUGCAUCUCCUGCAAUGCAGUUGUACCUUGCAGGGGAGCAGCUGCUGCAGUGAUGCAUCUCCUGCCAUGCAGUUGUGCCUUGCAGGGGAGCAGCUGCUGCAGUGAUGCAUCUCCUGCAGUGGAGCAUCUCCUGCAGUGGUGCAUCUCCUGCAAUGCAGUUGUGCCUUGCAGAGGAGCAGCUGCUGCAGUGAUACGGCUUCUGCAGUGGAGCAUCUCCUGCAGUGAAGCAUCUCCUGCAGUGAAGCAUCUCUUGCAGCUGCAGGGAAAGUUCAAGCCUCCACCAUCUCCUCAAGCAGCGUGUCCCAGAUUGCAACCACCCUCUGGAUUUUCAGCAUCUGCGGUUCUUUGCUUUACACGUUGAUUUUGAUGUUGUGACCGGCCAACAACGAAUCAAAGGAGAUCAGAUACGUGGUGUCGUAAUCUACUGGGAUUCAAGUAACUAAAGUCUAGGUGUCCAAUCCUCAUCUGACUCGCUGGAUUCGUAUACUUGGGCUUGACGCCUUCUGCUCCGAUUUGUCGUGAAUUCUGGCUUUGGUACGUCUAAUCCUGUGAAUAAUAAAACAUGCUCAUCACCUGUUAUGGCCACAACUUCAGAUUUUCAGCAUCUGCGGUUCUUUGCUUUACACGUUGAUUUUGAUGUUGUGACCGGCCAACAACGAAUCAAAGGAGAUCAGAUACGUGGUGUCGUAAUCUACUGGGAUUCAAGUAACCAACUGUGGAAGUCAGAGAACCAGUUGUGACUGUGAGACGUGGUGUUGUGUUGGAAGCACACAGAUGGCCUGGGACGUUCAUUAGAUGCAUCAAGAAGUUGCUAUGGAGACGGUGCAGGACGUUCCCCCCGGUUACGGCAGGGUUCCCUUCCUGGGAACCGUUCCCAAGCGGAACAUGCGUCCGUGAACAGAGUUCCCACACGGCAGAAGAUGCCUGCAGCCCCGCAGCAGCCGGUAAAUCCAUCCCACCGUCUCCCAGACACUCGCUCAUGUGUACGGGCUGUACUUUACUGUGUCCGUAAGCUGGGGACGAUCUACACCUCAAACAAGCCAACUCGGGGCUGGACAACGAUUAAAGAUAAAGACGGAACAAAGAAAUAAUGACAGAAAAUGCUCUAAAUACUCAGCCGGUCGGGCAGCAUCUUGUGGAGAAAGAAACAGUUCAUGUUUCACGCUCCUGUAGAAACAGGCCCUUCAGCCCAACUUGUCCAUGCUGACCAAGAUGCCUCCUCUAAGGUGAUCCUAUUUGCCCACGUUUGGCCCAAAACCCUCUGACCUUUCUUCCCCAUGUUGAAACACCUUCUGAAAAAUGUCUUCUCAGAUCAAUGACCGUUCAUCAGAACUGAUGCAGUCACAUAAUGUGGCUAGUUCUGAUACAAAAUGGAAAGGCUGGUUAUCUGAAAUUGCCCAUAUUAAUGAUAACUUCAAGGGCUGCACCACACUGAAACGUGGUGCUCUUCCGCAAGAUGUUGUCGGCUUCGUUGGAACAAUUGGAACGGCUUCAUUUGGGGCGGCACGGUGGUGCAGCGGUAGAGUUGUGGCCUUAUAGCACCAGAGACCCGGUUUCGAUCCUGACUAUGGGUGCUGUCUGUAUGGAGUUUGUACGUUCUCCCCGUGACCUGAGUGGGUUUACGCCAAAAUCUUCAGUUUCCUCUCACACUCCAAAGACGUACAGGUUUAUAGGUUAAUUGGCUUGGUAUAAUUGUAAUUUGUCCCUAGUGUGUGUAGGAUAAUGUUAAUAUGUGGGGAUCGCUGGUCAGUGCAGACUCGAUGGGCUCUCUAAACUAAACUAAACAAUGUAGGUGGACUAAUAAUAAAACAUGCAAUAGUCUGGAACAUCUGCCAUCCAGCACCAAACUCCCAAGUGUCCCAGAUUUGUGAGUUAUAAUGAACUCUAUCUGCUGGUGUUUCUGGAGGUCACCUCAGUAUGUGAAGCUCUUCCCACAGUGUGAACAUUCACACGGCCUCUCUCCGGUGUGGGUCCGCUGGUGUUGGUGGAGGGUCCCUGCCCGUGUGAAACACUUCCCACAUUCUGCACAUUCAUGCCGUCUCUCCUUUGUCCGUGCUUGAAGAUCACCUGAUUUCCCAAUUCCACUCCUUCCGUCAGAUAGUGUGAACGGACUCUGCCCACGUUUACAUUGUGAAUCUGGGUUCACACCGGAGGCAGAAGGUUGUCCAGCUGACGUUGGUCUGGAAGCUUCAGGAUGCCUUCUUCAGUGUUGUAUAAGGAACUCCAUGUGGUAAAUGCAACAGUGCAGUGAGGGCAGGGAUGACAGUCUCCUUGGGUCACUCCUGACUUGUGGCAACAAUAAAAGUGGUUGAUUUAUCAACGCCGUGUUGAUGAACUCAGUGCGAUAACCAGACUGCAUCACAACAGCCCCGAUCCCAGCGAUCCCGCACAGUCAGAAUAUCCCAGUGGGGACAGUUUAUCCCAGUGGGAAGAUGCAGUCUAGAGAGGGUCAGACAUGCGGCAAUGAUACCCGUCCCUGGUCCCCAAUUCACACGGGGUGGGAAACCAGGGACCCAUCCCUUAUACCCCAGACUUCUCCACACAAAGUAUCAUCAUAAAGGGGGAAAUACAGCAAGGGCCAAUAUUAAUACAGUUUGAAAAUGUAAAUACAUACUCAAAGUAAUUCAAUAUGAAAGAAUUAAAUGUAAAAACACUGAAAAUGGGUGACAUUUCUCUGAUAAAGCUCUGCCUGCAGUCUGAACAUUUGUACGGCCUCUCUCCAGUGUGAAUCCACUGGUGUUGGUGGAGGGUCCCUGCCCGUGCGAAGCUCUUCCCACAGUCUGCACAUUCAUGCAGUCUGUGAAACUCUUCCUACAGCCGCUAUCCCGUGUGGGUCUUCUUAUCGAGUCCACACACGAGAUUAGAAGUUGUUCAGCCAGAGCUGAACACACGUCUCGGCAUCUGCAUACAACGGUGUCUGUCUUGUACUUCUUGUGCUUGGUGGUGGAAAGAUUGGUGAAACCAGGGCCACGACGUGAAUGCUCUUUCCUUGACCCCGUGGGUCCUCUGGUGUCGAUGGAGGGAGCUGGACUCUGAAACUCUUCUUCCAGACUGUGCUUUUGUACGGCCUCUCUCCGGUGUGGGUCCGCUGGUGUAGAUGGAGGGUCCCUGCCCGUGUGAAACACUUCCCACAUUCUGCACAUUCAUGCCGUCUCUCCUUUGUCCGUGCUUGAACAUCACCUGAUUUCCCAAUUCCACUCCUUCCGUCAGAUGGUGUGAACGGACUCUGCCCAUGUUUACAUUGUCAAUCUGGGUUCACACCGGAGGCAGAAGGUUGUCCAGCUGACGUUGGUCUGGAAGCUUCAGGAUGCCUUCUUAAGUGUUGUAUAAGGAACUCCAUGUGGUAAAUGCAACAGUGCAGUGAGGCCAGGGAUGACAGUCAAUGUUUCC